UUUCCGUAGGUGAACCUGCGGAAGGAUCAUUAUCGUAGGGCUUCGGCCCUGUCGAGAUAGAACCCUUGCCUUUUUGAGUACCUUUCGUUUCCUCGGCAGGCUCGCCUGCCAAUGGGGACCACAAAAAACACUUUGCAGUACCUGUAAUAGUCUGAACAAACAAACAAAAAUUAAAACUUUCAACAACGGAUCUCUUGGUUCUG
This 203-nucleotide unclassified non-coding RNA is filed under the name soil metagenome. RNAcentral describes it as "partial contains small subunit ribosomal RNA, internal transcribed spacer 1, and 5.8S ribosomal RNA". The record is from RNAcentral.